RNAcentral lists this ribosomal RNA (253 nucleotides) under uncultured bacterium. RNAcentral describes it as "partial 16S ribosomal RNA". It matches the Rfam family "Bacterial small subunit ribosomal RNA", at positions 524 to 776 of the family's 1533-position model. The record is from RNAcentral.
UACGGGGGGGGCAAGCGUUGUCCGGAUUUAUUGGGCGUAAAGAGCGUGUAGGCGGCUAGGUAGGUCCGUUGUGAAAACUCGAGGCUCAACCUCGAGACGUCGAUGGAAACCAUCUAGCUAGAGUCCGGAAGAGGAGAGUGGAAUUCCUGGUGUAGCGGUGAAAUGCGCAGAUAUCAGGAAGAACACCCGUGGCGAAGGCGGCUCUCUGGUACGUGACUGACGCUGAGACGCGAAAGCGUGGGGAGCAAACAGG